AAAACAUAUUUUUGAAUUCAAAUAUAACCCUAGAAUAUGACACUUCACUGUGAAUUAUGUUGUUAUAAAACUUUUGUAAAAUUUAUUACUCAAAGAAAAUCCUGUGUAACUUGGACACAGAGCACAAACUUUUCAUAAGGGAUCAGCCUGAGAUUCAACAGCAUUCCCCCUAUGUCAACAUUCUGUUCAAUUUGUAGAAUUUUUCUGAUAAAUUCUCUGAUAUCACAUUUUAAAGUCAGGAUGUUGACUCUUUCAAGCAAAUGGCAUUCAUGGGAUCUUCUGCCAUCUUCACGACGAAAUCCCACCUGGAUAAACUUUUUUCUUAUUCUAAGUAUUAUUGCAAACAUAAAUAACAUAUGCAUUUAUAAUUGUCAGGUUUAGCAUAUCUUAAAAUAGGCAAAAUGGCCAUCUUUUUGUCUUCCUACUAAUCAACAUAUUGAAGCACAUUUGGUCUACUGUAUCAACAGUUCCCUCUGUAGAACUAUAAAAUACUCUUAUUUAAGAAAUGAAUAGAAAAACAACUCUAUACUCUCUUUUUUAACAUUAUUAGAACACAUAAACCACAAAAAAUAAAACAAAAUCUCUUCCACUUACUGUUAUGAUAUCUUUCGUUACACUGUUAUGAAAGGUAUCAUAUUUUUUACGAUGUCUCUGUUGUAUUUUCAAAACUAAAUAACGUUUGACUGCAAUGACCCAUCAUGGGUCACUGGCAUGAAUAAUUAGGAAGAUACACAGAGUGGAAGAGCAUUAGUGUGUGGCAAACUAUUGAUUUUAAAAAUUUUGUAUUUUGAGAUCAUAAUUUUUAUGACACUUUCGUAAUCUACAAUUAAUUACAAAUUGAUGAAUUGUAGUAUAUAAUGCAUAUCUGUUCUAUUAUAUGAAAUAAAUCCUCUUAAUUUUUAAGAAAAAUACAAAAG
This 917-nucleotide long non-coding RNA is filed under the name Androctonus crassicauda. The record is from RNAcentral. Lineage: Eukaryota; Metazoa; Arthropoda; Arachnida; Scorpiones; Buthidae.